Molecule: long non-coding RNA, 229 nt
Filed under: Citrus sinensis (sweet orange)
Lineage: Eukaryota; Viridiplantae; Streptophyta; Magnoliopsida; Sapindales; Rutaceae
Description: long non-coding RNA (CSIN_LNC004376)
Source: RNAcentral
AAAAUGUCAAGUACCAAAUUGCUGACUUUGAAAAUGCAAGCUUUGAAAAUGUAAGCUUGCGAUUCGGUGCUGAGAUGACCAAGACUUGCUUUUGGAAUACAUACAAAUUAAUCUGGGGAGCUGGAAAUUGCAUUUUUUUUUUUUCCAAAAGAAACAUAUUUGCCUGGUUAACUUCUUUCCUUUGAAUCAAAAUACUUCAUUGGAGUUGAUCAGAUCAUUUAGGUGUUUC